UUGAGCCGUAUGCGGGGGAACUCGCACAUGCGGUUCUUAAGGGGGAGAGCUUGUAAGAGCCAUCCCAA
Amborella trichopoda is the source of this 68-nucleotide non-coding RNA. The record is from Rfam. NCBI's taxonomy places the organism in Eukaryota, Viridiplantae, Streptophyta, Magnoliopsida, Amborellales, Amborellaceae.